CCUACGGGAGGCAGCAGUGAGGAAUAUUGGUCAAUGGACGAGAGUCUGAACCAGCCAAGUAGCGUGAAGGAUGACUGCCCUAUGGGUUGUAAACUUCUUUUAUAUGGGAAUAAAAUGUUCCACGUGUGGGAUUUUGUAUGUACCAUAUGAAUAAGGAUCGGCUAACUCCGUGCCAGCAGCCGCGGUAAUACGGAGGAUCCGAGCGUUAUCCGGAUUUAGUGGGUUUAAAGGGAGCGUAGGUGGAUUGUUAAGUCAGUUGUGAAAGUUUGCGGUGCAACCGUAAAAUUGCAGUUGAAACGGGCAGUCUUGAGUACAGUAGAGGUGGGCGGAAUGCGUGGUGUAGCGGUGAAAUGCUUAGAUAUCACGAAGAACUCCGAUUGCGAAGGCAGCUCACUGGACUGCAACUGACACUGAGGCUCGAAAGUGUGGGUAUCAAACAGGAUUAGAUACCCCGGUAGUC
RNAcentral lists this ribosomal RNA (460 nucleotides) under uncultured bacterium. RNAcentral's name for it is "partial 16S ribosomal RNA". It matches the Rfam family "Bacterial small subunit ribosomal RNA", at positions 338 to 795 of the family's 1533-position model. The record is from RNAcentral.